GACGAACGCUGGCGGCGUGCUUAACACAUGCAAGUCGAGCGGUAAGGCCCUUUCGGGGGUACACGAGCGGCGAACGGGUGAGUAACACGUGGGUGACCUGCCCUCAGCUCUGGGAUAAGCCCGGGAAACUGGGUCUAAUGCCGGAUAUGACUCCAUGACGCAUGUUGUGGGGUGGAAAGCCUUGUGCGGCUAGGGAUGGGCCCGCGGCCUAUCAGCUUGUUGGUGGGGUGAUGGCCACCAAGGCGACGACGGGUAGCCGGCCUGAGAGGGCGACCGGCCACACUGGGACUGAGACACGGCCCAGACUCCUACGGGAGGCAGCAGUGGGGAAUCUUGCGCAAUGGGCGAAAGCCUGACGCAGCGACGCCGCGUGAGGGAUGACGGCC
This 386-nucleotide ribosomal RNA is filed under the name uncultured bacterium. RNAcentral describes it as "bacterial SSU rRNA". It matches the Rfam family "Bacterial small subunit ribosomal RNA", at positions 28 to 416 of the family's 1533-position model. The record is from RNAcentral.